RNAcentral lists this transfer RNA (78 nucleotides) under Candidatus Thorarchaeota archaeon SMTZ-45. Its description in RNAcentral is "tRNA-Thr". It matches the Rfam family "tRNA". From Rfam's summary of the family: Transfer RNA (tRNA) molecules are approximately 80 nucleotides in length. Their secondary structure includes four short double-helical elements and three loops (D, anti-codon, and T loops). RNAcentral also lists the same sequence under 2 other names. The record is from RNAcentral. Lineage: Archaea; Promethearchaeati; Candidatus Thorarchaeota.
GCCUCAGUAGCUCAGACUGGUUAGAUCGCCUCCUUGGUAAGGAGGAAGCCGAGGGUUCAAAUCCCUCCUGGGGCUCCA